UACGUAGGCAGCGAGCGUUGUUCGGAAUUACUGGGCGUAAAGAGUGUGUAGGCGGCGCUCUAAGUUCGGUGUGAAAUCUCUCGGCUUAACUGGGAGGGUGCGCCGGAAACUGGAGUGCUCGAACGUGGGAGAGGAAAGCGGAAUUCCUGGUGUAGCGGUGAAAUGCGUAGAUAUCAGGAGGAACACCUGCGGUGUAGACGGCUUUCUGGACCAUUGUUGACGCUGAGGCGCGAAAGCUAGGGGAGCAAACAGG
This 253-nucleotide ribosomal RNA is filed under the name uncultured bacterium. Its description in RNAcentral is "partial 16S ribosomal RNA". It matches the Rfam family "Bacterial small subunit ribosomal RNA", at positions 524 to 776 of the family's 1533-position model. The record is from RNAcentral.